Molecule: long non-coding RNA, 976 nt
Organism: Perognathus longimembris pacificus (Pacific pocket mouse)
Lineage: Eukaryota; Metazoa; Chordata; Mammalia; Rodentia; Heteromyidae
Exons: 3
Source: RefSeq, a predicted model, not a curated record
ACAGCUCUAGGCUGGGGUAAGGCAACGCUUCUGGAAAUUUUCUGCUUUCAGCUAUGGGAAGGCUCUUAAAGCUCCUGCAGGCUUGAAGUUCUCAUCUGUCAAAAUUUACCCCAUUUCACUCAGGCCUACUCUGAGAAAUUCAGGACAGGGUAGUACUACAUGCCUCAUUUUAUAGAAAUUUGCUUAUAUUGUAGCCUCAGAUCUCAUGUGAUUCCCUAGCAACCAUGUCAUGUUUGUACUGGCUCUGGGUUCUGGGAAGUAUGAGCUGUUGGCUCAGACUUCACCUGAUUUUGUUCUUCUCAGACUGAGGCUGAGAGACACAAGUGCAGAAUUAAACCUUGUCCCUGUGCAGCUGCAUUUGUUACCUCUAAGGGACUGAAGCCCAAGUUCAAGUGUGUCAUUCCUUCUCCAUGACUUAACAGUAAAAUGAGCCUUUACUGUGGUAAGGUGGAUCUGAAGUUCACCUCCUCAAGACAUCCCAACAAACAUCCACAGUCAGGACUUCAUCCAGUGGUCUCCAGAGGUGACAAUCACUCCGCACCACUAAGGACUUCAUGGGGAUCUGGACUGACAACUGGAGACAACUGAGGACUCAUGGCUUCCAGAUGAGGACUGGAUUGGCUCGGAGCUUGGGGGUCAUAACCCAUCCAAAACAAAGGACAGCCUGAACAGUGACUGAGAGAGGCUUGAUGGCUGGAACUUGUCAACAGACACAACAGGGAAUCCUGAGAUGGAGAAAUGUCACAGAGGGGCACUCUCCUGGUGUGCCCUCCUCUAAGGCACAACUAGGUUAGGGGUUAGAGCUACCAAGGCUUCUGCUGCCCAGGCCUCACCUUGCUUCCCACAAUGGUUCCAGAAGAUCUGUGGACGGGUAAGGAUAAGGGUCUGAGCAGCCUCCAGGGCUCAAAGGGAUGCAGCUGCCCAUCAAUCAGAAGGCUUAGCUGCCCAAGAAGGGUUUCUGCUGGGUUCAGCUGUC